This 255-nucleotide ribosomal RNA is filed under the name uncultured bacterium. Its description in RNAcentral is "partial small subunit ribosomal RNA". It matches the Rfam family "Bacterial small subunit ribosomal RNA", at positions 26 to 285 of the family's 1533-position model. The record is from RNAcentral.
AGGACGAACGCUGGCGGCGUGCUUAACACAUGCAAGUCGAGCGGAAAGGCCCUUCGGGGUACUCGAGCGGCGAACGGGUGAGUAACACGUGAGUAACCUGCCCUUGGCUCUGGGAUAGCUCCGGGAAACCGGAAUUAAUACCGGAUAUGACUUCGGCCGACAUCGGCUGCGGUGGAAAGAUUUAUCGGCCAGGGAUGGGCUCGCGGCCUAUCAGCUAGUUGGUGGGGUAACGGCCUACCAAGGCGACGACGGGUA